UGUUUGCUUGCCACACAUGCCACUUCUGUGACAGGCCAUGGUAGUGUGUUGUUAUUCCGGUUGCGCUAAUCGUUCAGAGUUUGCAAGUAAAGAAUCUGGCAUAACGUACCACCACUUUCCCCGAGACGAGUCCUUACGAUUGCAAUGGGUGAAUGCGAUCGGGAGACCGGAUUGGGUGCCAACGAAGUACAGCCGAGUGUGCUCAAAACACUUCAGGAACGAGGACUUCGACAGAACGUCGCUAACACGCGUGCGCCUGCGGGAGGGUUCCGUUCCUGUCGCACAUCCGUCGGUUCAAGUUCACCAGGAGGAGCAUGACUUGCCAG
Long non-coding RNA from Ornithodoros turicata, 326 nucleotides. RefSeq lists it as uncharacterized. The record is from RefSeq and is a predicted model, not a curated record. The transcript has 3 exons. Lineage: Eukaryota; Metazoa; Arthropoda; Arachnida; Ixodida; Argasidae.